Molecule: ribosomal RNA, 253 nt
Filed under: uncultured bacterium
Lineage: Bacteria
Description: partial 16S ribosomal RNA
Rfam family: Bacterial small subunit ribosomal RNA
Source: RNAcentral
UACGUAGGGUGCGAGCGUUAAUCGGAAUUACUGGGCGUAAAGCGUGCGCAGGCUGUUUUGUAAGUCAGAUGUGAAAUCCCUGGGCUCAACCUAGGAACUGCGUUUGAAACUACAAGGCUAGAGUGUAGCAGAGGGGGGUAGAAUUCCACGUGUAGCAGUGAAAUGCGUAGAGAUGUGGAGGAAUACCGAUGGCGAAGGCAGCCCCCUGGGUCAAUACUGACGCUCAGGUGCGAAAGCCAGGGGAGCGAACGGG